UAAUCAGUAAAAAAAUGUUCUUUGCCCACAGGGUGGAGUUCGUUUCUUUUGUUCCUGAGAGCUGAAUAGGAGAAAGGGACAUUUCAGCUUCUCUUGAUAAAGAUUAUAUCAUCUUACUUAAACUGUGAGACAAGAAUACUUCUUGAAAAUUACUAAUUCUACAGCUCUAAGGCACCACCAGUG
RNAcentral lists this long non-coding RNA (183 nucleotides) under Camarhynchus parvulus. RNAcentral's name for it is "lncRNA (ENSCPVG00000017486.1)". Lineage: Eukaryota; Metazoa; Chordata; Aves; Passeriformes; Thraupidae. The record is from RNAcentral.